Molecule: ribosomal RNA, 492 nt
Filed under: uncultured bacterium
Lineage: Bacteria
Description: partial 16S ribosomal RNA
Rfam family: Bacterial small subunit ribosomal RNA
Source: RNAcentral
AGUGAACGCUGGCGGUAGGCCUAACACAUGCAAGUCGAACGGCAGCACAGUAAGAGCUUGCUCUUACGGGUGGCGAGUGGCGGACGGGUGAGGCAUACAUCGGAAUCUACUUUUUCGUGGGGGAUAACGUAGGGAAACUUACGCUAAUACCGCAUACGACCUACGGCUGAAAGCAGGAGAUCUUCGGACCUUGCGCGAUUGAAUGAGCCGAUGUCGGAUUAGCUAGUUGGCGAGGUAAAGGCCCACCAAGGCGACGAUCCGUAGCUGGUCUGAGAGGAUGAUCGGCCACACUGGAACUGAGACACGGUCCAGACUCCUACGGGAGGCAGCAGUGGGGAAUCUUGCGCAAUGGGCGAAAGCCUGACCCAGCAAUGCCGCGUGAGUGAUGAAGGUCUUCGGAUUGUAAAGCUCUUUUAUUAGGGAAGAACAAAAGCGGGUGUAUCCAUGGCUGUUCUGACGGUACCUAAUGAAAAAGCCCCGGCUAACUUCGUG